RNAcentral lists this ribosomal RNA (460 nucleotides) under uncultured bacterium. RNAcentral's name for it is "partial 16S ribosomal RNA". It matches the Rfam family "Bacterial small subunit ribosomal RNA", at positions 338 to 795 of the family's 1533-position model. The record is from RNAcentral.
CCUACGGGUGGCAGCAGUGAGGAAUAUUGGUCAAUGGCCGGAAGGCUGAACCAGCCAUGCCGCGUGAAGGUCAGUGCCCUAUGGGCGUUAAACUUCUUUUGUGCGGGAGCAAUAAUGGUCACGUGUGGCCAGACGAGAGUACCGUACGAAUAAGCAUCGGCUAACCCCGGGCCAGCAGCCGCGGUAAUAAGGGGGAUGCAAGCGUUUAUCGGAUUUAAUGGGGUUAAAGGGUGCGUAGGCUGGGAGGUAAGUCAGCGGGGAAAUGCCCCCGCUCAACGGGGUGAAGUGCCAUUGAUACUGGCUUGCUGGAAUGCGGAUGCGGUGGGAGGAAUGUGUGGUGUAGCGGUGAAAUGCAUAGAGAUCACACAGAACACCGAUUGCGAAGGCAUCUCACGAAUCCGCGAUUGACGCUGAUGCACGAAAGCGUGGGUAUCAAACAGGAUUAGAUACCCCUGUAGUC